CGAAAGCAAGCGCUGCAAAGACGAAGGGGAGCGCCCAAGGAUGAGGAACGUUCCAAGACACUGAGUGAUUUGCUGAAAAUCACACAUCUAGAUGCAAAGCCAGAAUGCGAGCAGUGACCACCACACUUGACAAAUCCGUUGUUGCACACAUUUGUACUCUUCAAUCAACAAAACCUGAUGCAAAAAACAGAAAAGGGGGAGAUGUACAUGCAUUUUCCCUCACUGCAAAAAAAACACAACUUGUUUAACUACAGCUGUAGAAAACAGAAGCCAAUCGAAAGAGCUCCCAGUCCAAAGCUGGAACAACUUGAACAACAAAAUAAAUAAUGUAGCAUUGGAUUACAAACCAACCAUAAAACAAAUAUCCAUGAGUCUAUACUGAUGUCAAUAAAUGAAUAAAUGUGGGAAAAUAGACAAAUCUCCUUUCUCAUACAGAAGGAUUCCAAAUAAUUUGUGUAGAUAUUUCACUUUUAACUUGUUCUGUGGCUACGCAUUAAGUCAGGAUUUCCUUUCUUGCAUAAGGAGGACAAGG
Molecule: long non-coding RNA, 532 nt
Filed under: Homo sapiens (human)
Lineage: Eukaryota; Metazoa; Chordata; Mammalia; Primates; Hominidae
Description: non-protein coding lnc-CLEC4D-1:2
Source: RNAcentral